CUUACUCUUGCGCGCGUAAUGAUUCCUGCUGGCCACGGACUGAGAGCUCCCGCUGGGGCUCAAGAUUUGGGGGCGGGGUUUCCCAGUCUCUCCCGCGAGCUUCGGGCUUUACUUGCCUAGCCCGCUGUCUCCACGCUAGGGUCUUCGACCCUCCUCCGGGGAGGCGUGCCGGUCGUAAGGCUGCGGAGCGGCUGCUUUCCCGCAACUCGCCUGGAGAGGGGGUUUCCGGAAAACGCUUCGAGUCCGGGCGGCUCCGAGGGUUUUCCUGAGCCAGGGGCGGGGGGCGAAUCCCGCGUGGGUCUUCCCCGGCGCGGCGAGGAGGGCUUGCGGGAAACUCUCCAGGCGCUCACUGGGCGCGCGGGUGGACCCACUUCUGCGAGUUUGGGGUACCGGGAGUCAGCCUAGAAGAUUGGCAUCUGACCCUGCUCUGCAGCUCUGGGACCAGCUGCUUCAAGCCUGCGAGGUCUACACUGUGUCACCUUCAAGCACCUGGAACCCUUCCAGUUGGCUCUACCUCUCUGGAACAUGCAGAACAUCUCUUCCACAUGAAGCAGUGCUAGAGGAAGGGCCGAUAGGCUCCGUCUCUUGUCACCAAGAGACAAAACCCAGUUCAUACGGAACCCUAGUACAGAACAGGACAGGGAGGGUAGACAUAGGGGGACUAGUCUGUUGUUUGUGGGCAGAUAAGCAUCUAAUACUGCAGACAUCUCCCAGCCAGAAGAGACGUACAUCGCAGAAUGCUGGACCUCAGGAGCACUUGCAGAGGGGGACAUUUGGUCUAUAAAACUACUCUGUGUUCAGACAGUGGAUUAACAAAUCCUGCCAGAUUAUAGAGGGGGAGGGGCCAAAGCAGUCAGACAUUGUGGAGCUCAGGCUUGCCCCUCUGCUCAGGUGGUCAGCCACUUUUUUUUUGUUGUUGUUUUUUUUUCUUUUCUGGGUUGUUUUUUUUUUUUUUUUUUUUUUUUUUUUUUGAGAGUUGGGAUGUCGGGUGUUUCCCUUCCUGCCCCUUGCAUGGUUCUCUCAUUCUGCGGAUGCUUGUAAGGCGCACGUGCAUCCUGAAAUGCCAAGACUGCUGCUGCUGGCAUCAACUUUUCUGUAUACUCAUCUAGGGGCAUCUGGACCAGGACAGGGUGAACUCAGUCCAAACAAAACAUGACCAGUGUGUGCAUGCUAUGCUGUUACAUUAAUCACAUGAAUGUGCCAGUUCCUUUCUACAAUAUGGAGUACUGCUGCUUCUCUGACAUGCAGAAUGUACAAGUUCCUCUGUGAGCCUAGGGGACAAAGGGUUACUGCUGGGCCACAUGAAUGUCCAAUGCCUCUUGACUGCUGCCAAGAACCUGUGUUCCUCCUCCUGUCUCUGCUUCUAACUCAAGAUUGGCCUCCCAAGCAUCCUGUGCUCUCCUCAGAAUCUCAGCUCCCAGGAGAGGUACACUCUAUCUCCGUACCAAGUGAGAAGAAAAAAAAACAACCUUAGGACAGAAGUCAUAUUGGCUCAACUAAGCUCCCAUGUCUGGAUCUGUCAACGUGAACAGAGAAUGGAG
This 1541-nucleotide long non-coding RNA is filed under the name Mus spicilegus (steppe mouse). RNAcentral's name for it is "lncRNA (ENSMSIG00000006768.1)". The record is from RNAcentral. Lineage: Eukaryota; Metazoa; Chordata; Mammalia; Rodentia; Muridae.